UUUGGUAUAACUUUAUCCCAAUCUGGGCGUGUUAACAAUCCUUUAAAAAUCAUGCUACAUUACUUUGGAGGAAGAUACCUCCAGCUUAACGUGUUUAAUGUCAGAUAAUUGUAAUCUUUUAAAACAUUUUUCACUGCCUCUGAUUUUUAACACAGUGAGCAUCAGUCUAAUGUCAAUGUGAAUGCACAUUAACCAGGUAAUGGCUUUCUAAAGUGAUUCCUUCACAGAUAGCAAAUGGCAUAAUCCUGGAACUGUGUAUGAGAGGCAAAAGGGAAGCUGCGUGUGCUGCCAAUAUUUUAUGGAUUACCUCCCUCUUGUAAGUAGUGCCCACUCUUUUUUUUAUUAAAAAUUUUUAACGUGUAUUUAUUUUUGACAGAGAGAGAGACAGAGCAUGAGCAUGGGAGGGGUAGAGAGAGAGGGAGACACAGAAUCCGAAGCAGGUUACAGGCUCUGAGCUGUUAGCACAGAGCCCGACGUGGGGCUUGAGCUCACAGACCGUGAGAUCAUGACCUGAGCUGAAGUCAGAUGCCCAACCGACUGAGCCACCCAGGCACCUCAAGCAGUGUCCACUCUUUGAUUAACAAUUGCAAAUGACCCAACUGGAGAGAACACUCAAGAGAAUAAGCAAAGAGAACUGGAAAGCUAUGAAAAUGCAAUGCCUGGCUGAGCCCUGAGGGGCAUCCUAGGUUGGAUAUGUUGAUCACAAUGACCAUGAUAUUGUUGUACAGAGGCUGACACGGACACCAGGAAGGGGGGACAUUGAAGGCAGAUGAGAAAUGGAUGUGACUGCAUCCUAGAAACCUCCCAAAACACACUUUGGGUGUUGGUGGGGUUAUUUUGUGUGAAACUUGAUCUCAAUCUGUCUCACACUGAGCUAAGGAAAUAAGUAUAACAGGGAGUUUUCCUGUUUCUUGAUUUCUCCUAUAUCUGGGUUUACAGUUAGGUGGAAGACAACUUUAAAGUGAACACAGUAAGCUUCCCUAUGGUGGUGGUAUUCAGAAAGGAAGAAUGAAAGAAUAAGCUGGCCUGAAACAGUGCACACUAACAUGGUCAGGAGAACUUAGAACCCGUGUGAGCAUUUUUUACCCAGGGAAUGAAUGUAUUCCUGCUACUUUUCU
Molecule: long non-coding RNA, 1118 nt
Filed under: Lynx pardinus (Iberian lynx)
Lineage: Eukaryota; Metazoa; Chordata; Mammalia; Carnivora; Felidae
Source: RNAcentral